CUUUUUGAGGCCAAAAAUUAACUUGUGAGCAAUUAUUUUAUUUUUUCCCCCACAUUCAGUUUACCUUUCUGGAAAUUAGUAUGUUUUAGGUACAUUUAUUUUUCCACCAUUUCACAAAACCAGGGUUGAAUGUUGGCAACUUGGAAGAGACAUUGUGUCAACUUUCAAGUGGGUGUCCCUAUGGAGAUGCAGUUGUCCAUCUAUGGUAUAGCUCACUUCUCAAAGUUUUUGUGAGCAUCAAUUAUUUUCCGACGCACCUCCCGGUUCCUGGCCCUUUUUUCUUCAUACUCUUUCUUUAAGCACUUCCGCAUCUCACGGUCGAUA
RNAcentral lists this long non-coding RNA (324 nucleotides) under Gallus gallus (chicken). Lineage: Eukaryota; Metazoa; Chordata; Aves; Galliformes; Phasianidae. The record is from RNAcentral.